UGAUUUUACGAUAGUGAGUGCUGGACC
RNAcentral lists this small RNA (27 nucleotides) under Bombyx mori (domestic silkworm). RNAcentral's name for it is "ovarian small RNA-33217". Lineage: Eukaryota; Metazoa; Arthropoda; Insecta; Lepidoptera; Bombycidae. The record is from RNAcentral.